Callithrix jacchus (white-tufted-ear marmoset) is the source of this 20428-nucleotide non-coding RNA. Lineage: Eukaryota; Metazoa; Chordata; Mammalia; Primates; Cebidae. The record is from RefSeq and is a predicted model, not a curated record.
GGGAAGCUGAGAUGGGCAGAUAACCUGAGGUCAGGAGUUCGAUACCAGCCUGGCCAACGUGGUAAAACCCCGUAUCUACUAAAAAUACAAAAAGUAGCUAGGUGUGAUGAUGGUUGCCUGUAAUCCCAGCUACUCAGGAGGCUGAGGCAGGAGAAUCACUUGAACUCGGGAGGCAGAGGUUGCAGUGAGCUGAGAUUAUGCCAUUACAUUCCAGCCUGGGCAUGAGUGAAACUCCAUCUCAAAAAAAAAAAAAAAGAAAGAAGAAAGAAAGAAAGAAAGAAAGAGACUUGUUUGUUAACCUAUACCAUAGGAAUGUAAUUAGCAAAAUCCAAACUAUGGGAAGCAAUACAAAUUAAUCAUUCCAAAUGUUUCAGUAAAAACUUGCAAGAGAGAAAAAAGAGAUGCAGGGGAAAUCUACAGAUUUAAAGAUACUCUUUUUUUUGACAAGGUUUCUCCAUGUUGGUCAGGCUGGUCUCAAACUCCCGACCUCAGGUUAUCCACCCUCCUCUGCCUCCCGAAGUGCUGCUGGAUUACAGGCAUGAGUCACGGUGCCUGGCUUAAAGAGACUCUUAACAGCAGCUGGUACUAACUAUAACAUCUACGGAGACUAUAUAAAUUUUCUAUGCUAUGCAACAAAUCGCUACAUAAUUAGCGUUUUUUUUUUUAAGUGACAAGGUCACGAGGCUGGGGUGCCAUGGAGCAGUCACAGCUCACUGCAGCCUUGAACUCCUGGACUCAAGCCAUCCUCUUGCCUCAGCCUCCUGAGUAGCUGGGACUACAGGCACACACCAUCACACCAAAUUCAACAGCUUCAAAUAAGGCUCAUUGUUAGCUCACAAUUGGGUAGGUCUGUAAUGGAUUGAAUUGUGACUUGUUCCCCCACCAAAUUCAUAUGUUGAAGUUCCAGCUGCCACCACCUCAGAAUGUCAUCUUAUCUGGAGAUAAGGUCCUCUCAGAGGUGAACAAGUUAAAAUGAAGACAUCAGGCUGGGCCAUGUUCCAAUAUGACAGGUGUCCUUACGAAAGAGGGAAAUUUGCAUAUACACAUCCAGAGAGAACAUCAAAUAGAAAUAACGUGGUUAUUUAUUUAUUCAGAUGAAGUUCCACUCUUGCUGCUUCGGGUGGAGUGCAACAAGGCCACGUCGGCUCACUGCAACCUCCAGGUUCAAGCAAUCUCCUGUCUCAGCCUCUCGAGUAGCUGGGAUCACAGGUGCCCACCACUAUGCCCGGCUAAUUUUUGUAUUUUCAGUAGAGACAGGGUUUCACAACGUUGGCCAGGCUGGUCUCGAACUCCUGACCUCAGGUGAUCUGCCCACCUUGGCCUCUUGAAGUGCUGGGAUUACAGGCGUGGGCCUCUCUCUGUGUUUUCACAUCAUCUUUCCUCUGUAUGUGUCUCUGUGUCCAAUUUCCCCUUUUUGUAAGGACACCAGUAUUACUGGAUUGAGGCCCACCCUGAUAACUUCAUUAUAACUUGAUGACCUCUGUUGAAGUUUUGUUUUCAGGCUGGCCAAGGUGGCUCAUGCCUGUAAUCCCAGCACUUUGGGAGGCAGGCUGUUCCGGGCCAAGGGAGCAGGAAGUGCAGAGGCCAGAGGGGAAGGUCCCUGGUGUCCCUGAAACUGUAUGCAGCCGCCAGGGCUCUGGGGCAGAGUCAGCCAAUGGAGGUGCAGGAGAUGGGUCAGGGCCACCAUGCCAAGUCAGGCAUAGGCCACAAAGAGACGUGCAGGCCAUCAGGACAUGACCUUCGCACUGUGUGAAAUGGAAGCCAUUGGAUGGUUUUGAGCAGAACAAUGUGUGAGCAUCAUUCUAACUGGAUCCCCUGUCUGGGAGGCUGGUCCAAACUCCUGGGCUCAAGGGACCCUCCUGCCUCGGCCUCCCAAAGUGCUGCAUUCCAGGCAUGAGCCACCACGCCCAGCCACCGAAAUGAUACUCUAAUAAAGUUUAAAGACAAGGCAAAGAACUCCGCAAAACAUGCACCCUAUGCCCCAAAGACAACUCUCAAAAGUUCGGUCAGUGACAUUGCCGCUGACUUCACUGCAAAGCCUCCCUGGGCUCCUUGGAAGGACCGGGCCUGUGCACGUGAGCAUGCCAGCCCCUCUUGAUCCGCUGCUUCCGGCUGAAGAGCCUUCUCAUACUUCAUGGGGAGGCCCCUGGAAAGGAUUGUAAAAACAACAGACUAGCUCCAUCCACCGAGAUGGCGGCAUGGGUGAGCACCAGGCCCACCACAGCCCGAGCAUCAGGAGGACAGCAGGCAGGACGGGCUGGGGCCUUUCAGCUGUGUGGAGGAAUAAGACCCGCUGACACCAGGACUGGUGCCCAGCUGGGACACUGGCUGCCAGCCAGAGAAUGCGCACUGCUGGGAUGCGAGUCUGUGUGAGUAAUCCGUUGCAAGGCGGUAGCAUCCUACUUUAGGGCCCCUUCUAGACGGCCCAGACCAAUCUUGCAGUUGGUAUUAUUAUUUACUUUUGUAGAGAUGGGGUCUUGCUAUGUUGCCUAGGCUAGGUCUUGAACUCCUGCCCUCAAGCAAUCCUCCCCCCUUGGCCUUCCCAAGUGCCGGGAUUACUGACAUGAGUCACCACACCUGGCCUGUUACUUUUAUUUUUUACUUUUUGGGAUGGAAUCUUGCUCUGUUGCCCAGGCUAGAGUGCAGUGGCACAAUCUCAGCUCACUGCAAUCUCCGCCUCCCAGGUUCAAGCAAUUCUCCUGCCUCAGCCUCCUGUGUAGCUGGGAUUACAGACACAUGCCACCAUGCCCAGCUAAUUUUUUGUAUUUUUAAUAGAGAUGGGGUUUCACCACGUUGACCAGGAUGGUCUCGAUAUCUUGACCUUGUGAUCCAGCUGCCUCAGCCUCCCAAAGUGCCAGGAUUACAGGCGUGAGCCACUGCACCCUGCAAGUAAUUGUGAUUUUCAAAUUUUAUCAUCCCCAGUGGCCAGAUAACUGAAUUCUUGGUGUAGGGAAAAGGAGUUACAGAGGUGAAAUGGAAGAGAAUGAGUAACAUCCUGUCUCCUGAAUUUGAAUCAGAAGUAUCAGUAUGCUUCAUGAGGCAUCUUAUCUUAAAAAUUAUAUAAAUUCACAUAUACACACAGACACACACACACCUUGCAGUUGUGUACUCUGAAAGAGUCUUUAAAAAAACAGAAAACCUUAAUCUGAUUAACACUCUAGACGAAACGACCAAUUUAUAGGAAAAAAAGACACGUGUGUCAGGCGCAAUUGCUCAUGCCUGUAAUCCCAGCACUUUGGGAAGCUGAGAUGGGCAGAUAACCUGAGGUCAGGAGUUUGAUACCAGCCUGGCCAACGUGGUAAAACCCCGUAUCUACUAAAAAUACAAAAAGUAGCUAGGUGUGAUGAUGGUUGCCUGUAAUCCCAGCUACUCAGGAGGCUGAGGCAGGAGAAUCACUUGAACUCGGGAGGCAGGGGUUGCAGUGAGCUGAGAUUAUGCCAUUACAUUCCAACCUGGGCAUGAGUGAAACUCCAUCUCAAAAAAAAAGAAAGAAAGAAAGAGACUCGUUUGUUAAUCUAUACCAUAGGAACGUAAUUAGCAAAAUCCAAACUAUGGGAAGCAAUACAAAUUAACCAUUCCAAAUGUUUCAGUAAAAACUUGCAAGAGAGAAAAAAGAGAUGCAGGGGAAAUCUACAGAUUUAAAGAUACUCUUUUUUUUGACAAGGUUUCUCCAUGUUGGUCAGGCUGGUCUCAAACUCCCGACCUCAGGUUAUCCACCCUCCUCUGCCUCCCGAAGUGCUGCUGGAUUACAGGCAUGAGUCACGGUGCCUGGCUUAAAGAGACUCUUAACAGCAGCUGGUACUAACUAUAACAUCUACGGAGACUAUAUUAAUUUUCUAUGCUAUGCAACAAAUCGCUACAAAAUUAGCGUUUUUUUUUUUUUAAGUGACAAGGUCACGAGGCUGGGGUGCCAUGGAGCAGUCACAGCUCACUGCAGCCUUGAACUCCUGGACUCAAGCCAUCCUCUUGCCUCAGCCUCCUGAGUAGCUGGGACUACAGGCACACACCAUCACACCAAAUUCAACAGCUUCAAAUAAGGCUCAUUGUUAGCUCACAAUUGGGUAGGUCUGUAAUGGAUUGAAUUGUGACUUGUUCCCCCACCAAAUUCAUAUGUUGAAGUUCCAGCUGCCACCACCUCAGAAUGUCAUCUUAUCUGGAGAUAAGGUCCUCUCAGAGGUGAACAAGUUAAAAUGAAGACAUCAGGCUGGGCCAUGUUCCAAUAUGACAGGUGUCCUUACGAAAGAGGGAAAUUUGCAUAUACACAUCCAGAGAGAACAUCAAAUAGGAAUAAUGUGGUUAUUUAUUUAUUUAGAUGAAGUUCCACUCUUGCUGCUUCGGGUGGAGUGCAACAAGGCCACGUCGGCUCACUGCAACCUCCAGGUUCAAGCAAUCUCCUGUCUCAGCCUCUCGAGUAGCUGGGAUCACAGGUGCCCACCACUAUGCCCGGCUAAUUUUUGUAUUUUCAGUAGAGACAGGGUUUCACAACGUUGGCCAGGCUGGUCUCGAACUCCUGACCUCAGGUGAUCUGCCCACCUUGGCCUCUUGAAGUGCUGGGAUUACAGGCGUGGGCCUCUCUCUGUGUUUUCACAUCAUCUUUCCUCUGUGUGUGUCUCUCUGUCCAAUUUCCCCUUUUUGUAAGGACACCAGUAUUACUGGAUUGAGGCCCACCCUGAUAACUUCAUUAUAACUUGAUGACCUCUGUCGAAGUUUUAUUUUCAGGCUGGCCGAGGUGGCUCAUGCCUGUAAUCCCAGCACUUUGGGAGGCCGAGGCAGGUGGAUCACCUGAGGUCAGGAAUUGGAGACCAGCCUGAUCAAUGUGCAGAAACUCUGUCUCUUAAAACCAAACCAAAACAAAAAUUAUUUAAAAAUUGUUAAAAUUAGUUUAAAAAUGAUUAAAAACACUGCAUAAAAUUACCUUCAGGUGGCUGGGCGCUGCGGCUCAUGCCUGUAAUCCCAGCGCUUUGGGAGACAGGCCAAGGGAGCAGGAAGUGCAGAGGCCAGAGGGGAAGGUCCCUGGUGUCCCUGAAACUGUAUGCAGCCGCCAGGGCUCUGGGGCAGAGUCAGCCAAUGGAGGUGCAGGAGAUGGGUCAGGGCCACCAUGCCGAGUCAGGCAUAGGCCACAAAGAGACGUGCAGGCCAUCAGGACGUGACCUUUACCCUGUGUGAAAUGGAAGCCAUUUGAUGGUUUUGAGCAGAACAAUGUGUGAGCAUCAUUCUAACUGGAUCCCCUGUCCGGGAGGUAAGUGGGCCGAGGGGAGCCAGAGCAGGGGUGUUGUUUGGACCAGUGGGGGUGCCAAGGUGGUCAGGUUCAGAAUCUAUUGUGUGUGUGUGUUUGUGUGUGUGUGUGUGUGUGUGAGAGAUGGAGUCUUCCCCUGUUGCCCAGGCUGGACUGCAGUGGCAAGAUCUUGGCUCACUGCAACCUCUGCCUCCUGGGUUCAAGCCAUUCUCCUGCCUCAGCCUCUUGAGUAGCUGGGAUUACAGGCACCUGCCAUCAUGCCCAGCUAAUUUCUUCUGCAUUUUUAGUAGAGACAGGGUUUCAUCAUGUUGGCCAGGCUGGUUUCAAACUGCUGACCUCAAGUGAUCCACCCUCCUCGGCUCCCCAAAGUACUGGGAUUACAAAGGUGACAAAGGUGAACCACAGAGCCUGGCCCAGAAUCCAAUUUGAAGUGGAGUCAACAGGAUUUGCUGAUGGGUGUUAUGAGAGUGGGAGCAGUCAGGGAUGACCCAAGAGCGUUGGCCCCAGGAGCUGGAGGAAGUGGUAUCCAGGAGCUGUGGACACAGCCAGAGCUGGCUUUGUUGACUGUUUUCUCUAAUGCUGAUCAGCCACUGACCUACUCUUCCUGAAGGUACAUUGAUAUAUCACACUGAGGGCCCGCGGGCUUUGCCGGUCUGAGAUCAAGUGCCCUUUCUCUUGAAGUGUUUGCAUAAUCUCUGCUUUAAUGCACUGUAGGUGGUAUGCACAUAGAGUUUCGCUUUCAGGAGGAAAUUUAUUCCACAACUGUAGCUGCACGUCUGCUCAAAGAUAUUAACUUGCUGUGUUACUGACUCUUGGCAUUCCUUAUGACCGUAUGGCUUUGAACUUCAUCUGAAGCUUCUACACUCUGUGGCUUUUUUUUUUUUUUUUUUUUUUUUUGGUGGAGUUUUACUCUUGUUGCCCUGGCUGGAGUGCAAUGGUGCCAUCUUGGCUCACUGCAACCUCCACCUCCUGGGUUCAAGCAAUUCUCCUGCCUCAGCCUCCAGAGUAGCUGGGAUUACAGGCAUGCACCACCACACCUGGCUAAUUUUUGUAUUUUUAGUAGAGAUGGGGUUUCACCGUAUUGACCAGGCUGCUCUCAAACUCCUGACCUUGUGAUCCACCUGCCUUGGCCUCCCAAACUGCUGGGAUUACAGGCGUGAGCCACCACAACCGACUAUAUGAAUUGUAUUUUACCCAACCUACCCAGAACAUUUUUUUUUUCUUGAGACAGAGUCUUGCUCAGCUGCCCUGGCUGGAGUGCAGUGGCAUGAUCUCAGCUCACUGCAUUCUCCACCUCCUGGGUUCAAGCAGUUCUCCUGCCUCAGCCUCCUGAGUAGCUGGGAUUAUAGACACCCACCAUCCUGCCCAGCUAAUUUUUCUAUUUUAGUAGACACAGGGUUUCACUAUGUUGGCCAGGAGGGUCUUGAACUCCUGACCUCAGGGGAUCCGCCCUCCUCAAAAAUACUAUCUUUUUAACAUGCAAUCAAUAUGAAAAGUAUUGGAAUGCUUUACAUCUUUUUUUCCCUUUACACCAAGCCUUCGAAAUCUGGUAUUUUAUACUUACAGCACAUCUCCAUUCGGACCAACCACAUUUCUUUUCUUUGGAGUUUCACUCUUGUUGUCCAGGCUGGAGUGCAAUGGCGAAAUCUUGGCUCACUGCAACCUCCACGUCCCUGGUUAAGUGAUUCUCCUGCCUCAGCCUCCAGAGUAGCUGGGAUUACAGGCAUGUGCCAUCAUGCCUUGCUAAUUUUGUAUUUUCAGUAGAGAUGGGGUUUCUCCAUGUUGGUCAGGGUGGUCUUGAACUCCCAACCUCAGGUGAUCCACCUCCCUCGGCCUCCCGAAGUGCUGGGAGUACAAGCAUAAGCCACUGUGCCCGGCCAGACCAACUACAUUUCACAACUUAACGGCCACACGUGGCUAACUGCCACUGUUUAGCACGGUGUAUUUCCAGGUACUGAGCUAUCCCCACAGUGGUCAUGCACAAUCAGCGUCCGUCUCAGCUGGAAGCUUCUUUGCAAUGCAGAAUCCCAGACCUACUCAGCCAGAAUCUGCUUUUUAACAAGAUACUCAAGUAAUUUACACACAGGUUAAAAUGUGAGAUGCAUGGGUAGAUGGCCGUUGUUUUGUUCAUUCUGGAAAGUAUGCUUGUGUUUUUCAGACUGCGUGUCUUCAUUUUGGCUCUGAAAGCACAGUCACUUCCACUGUGAUGGCAUCUGUAUUAGAGUCCUCCAGGGAAGCAGAACCAAUGGGAUAUAUAGAGAGAGACAUACAGGCAGAGGUUUAUUUAUUUAUUGAGACAUGUUCUUGCUCUGUUGCCCAGGCUGGAGUACAGUAAGGCAGUCAUGGCUCACUUCAGCCUCCACCUCCCAGGCUCAGGCAAUUCUCCUGCCUCAGCCUCCUCACUAGCUGGGACCACAGUAUGUGCCAACAUGCCUGGCUAAUUUUUACAAAUUAUUUGUAGAGGGUGGGUAUGGUGGCUCACGCCUAAAAUACCAGCAUUUUGGGAGGCCAAGGCUAUCAGAUUGCCUGAGGUCAGGAGUUCAAGAUCAAUCUGGCCAACAUGGUGAAACCCUGUCUGUACUAAAAAUCCAAAAAAAAUACCCAGACGUGGUGGCAUAAGCCUAUAAUCCCAGCUACUUGGCAGGCUGAGGCGGGGGAAUUACUUGAACCAGGAAGGUGAAGGUUGCAGUGAGCCAAGAUCCUGCCACUGCAUUCCAACUUGGGUGACAUAGUGAGACUCCAUCUCAGAAAAACAAAAUCAUUUUCCCGUUCUCCUGUUACGCAGGCUGGUCCAAACUCCUGGGCUCAAGGGACCCUCCUGCCUCGGCCUCCCAAAAUGCUGCAUUCCAGGCAUGAGCCACCACGCCUGGCCACCGAAAUGAUACUCUAAUAAAGUUUAAAGACAAGGCAAAGAACUCCGCAAAACAUGCACCCUAUGCCCCAAAGACAACUCUCAAAAGUUCGGUCAGUGACAUUGCCGCUGACUUCACUGCAAAGCCUCCCUGGGCUCCUUGGAAGGACCGGGCCUGUGCAGGUGAGCACGCCAGCCCCUCUUGGUAGGUGGCCUAUGUUUCUCGGUCACUGUAGGGCUGUGGCCCUGGCAGGGGCCAGUGGCGUCCACUGUUCUGCGAGCCUGGGAGAGACGUGGUGCCCUCGGUAUGGAGCAAAGAUCCCCCCGUGUUUAGGGCUGCUGCUUCCUUGGACAAACGGUGAAGAGAGAUGCUCAGGGGAGGUGGGUUGGGGUGGGCAUGAGUCCCAUCUCGCUCCCAGGCCUUCACCCAGCAUCCCACACACUGGGACUCCUACUGUGAUCCGUGUCACUGCCACCACGACUGCGCAUUAGCUCGAGUGUUUAGCGCCGUCCCCCAUCAGCCUCUGAUUUCCUUCAGAUCCGCUGCUUCCGGCUGAAGAGCCUUUUCAUACUUCAUGGGGAGGCCUCUGGAAAGGAUUGUAAAAACAACAGACUAGCUCUGUCCACCGAGAUGGCGGCAUGGGUGAGCACCAGGCCCACCACAGCCCGAGCAUCAGGAGGACAGCAGGCAGGACGGGCUGGGGCCUUUCAGCUGUGUGGAGGAAUAAGACCCGCUGACACCAGGACUGGUGCCCAGCUGGGACACUGGCUGCCAGCCAGAGAAUGCGCACUGCUGGGAUGCGAGUCUUUGUGUGAGUAAUCCGUUGCAAGGCGGUAGCAUCCUACUUUAGGGCCCCUUCUAGACGGCCCAGACCAAUCUUGCAGUUGGUAUUAUUAUUUAUUUUUGUAGAGAUGGGGUCUUGCUAUGUUGCCUAGGCUAGGUCUUGAACUCCUGCCCUCAAGCAAUCCUCCCCCCUUGGCCUUCCCAAGUGCCGGGAUUACUGACAUGAGUCACCACACCUGGCCUGUUAUUUUUAUUUUUUACUUUUUGGGAUGGAAUCUUGCUCUGUUGCCCAGGCUAGAGUGCAGUGGCACAAUCUCAGCUCACUGCAAUCUCCGCCUCCCGGGUUCAAGCAAUUCUCCUGCCUCAGCCUCCCGAGUAGCUGGGACUACAGGCACCCACCACCAUGCUCAGCUAAUUUUUGUAUUUUUAGUAGAGACAGGGUUUCACCAUGUUGGCCUGGCUGGUCUUGAACUCCUGACCUCAGGUGAUCUGCCCAUCUUGGCCUCCUAAAGUGCUGGGAUUGCAAGUGUGAGCCACCAUGCCUGGUCCUGUUAUAUUAUUAUUAUUUUAUUUUUUUGAAACAGAAUCUCGCUGUGUCACCCAGGCUGGAGUGCAGUGGUGUAAUCUCAGCUCACAGUAACCUUGCCUCCCAGGUUCAAAUGAUUCUUCUUCCUCACAGGCAUGUGCCAUCACGCCUGACUAAUUUUUGUAUUUUCAGUGGAGACUGGGGUUUUGCCAUGUUGGCCAGGCUUGUUUUGAACUCCUGACCUUCGGUGAUCCUCCUGCCUCAGCCUCCCACAGUGGUGGGAUUACAGGCGUAAGCCACCGCGCCCGGCCUGUUAUUGUUAUUUUUUUAAAUAGUGCUUAUCCAUAUAAAGCUUUACAAGGAAGGUUGAAGGCAUCUGUUUGAUCCUAAACAUCCUGCUCCCUUACUGCUGUCCCCAUGGAGGGUUUGUGACUCUGCUUUCAACAUAUUAAUUCUUUUCCCACCACACAGCUUUGGAAAGGACAAAUGGAGGCUGUUAGUAUGUUCUUCUCCCAAAAGGUACCUACAAAAUCCGACACAGACCACAAGCAAUGGGGAGUGAACUUUUACUGAAGACUUGCUCAGCGGCUGGUGGGCCUCGUUUUCCUGUUAAAGACAGCUCCUCACGUGCCUUCCUUAGGCACCAGGGCAAGUGUGUCCUUUACAAUCCCUGCAGCCAGCCAAGGUUGGACCCGGGGUGCUGGUUUCACAACAAGCCUAGGUGUCAGUAGAGGCACGUACAUGGACAGCAGGAUAGGCGUUUUCCUCUCUCCUUUGCUCCUGGAAAACUGCCUCAGCUCCAAAUAGGAUAUUACAAAUAUAUUAAUGAGUAAAUAAAAGAUAGGAAAGCUGGGCACCUUGGCUUACGCCUGUAAUCCCAGCACUUUGGGAGGCCGAGGCGGGCAGAUCACAAGGUCAAGAGAUCGAGACCAACCUGGCCAACAUGGUGAAACCUCGUCUCUAUUAAAAAUACAAAAAAUUAGCUGGGUGUGGUCGUGAGUGCCUGUAAUCCCAGCCACUCGGGAGGCUGAGGCAGGAGAAUUGCUGGAACCCCGGAGGUGGAGGUUGCAGUGAGCUGAAAUUGCACCACUCCACUCCAGCCUAGAGACAGACUCUGUCUCAAAAAAAAAAAAUUAGCUAGGCAUAAUGGUGGGCUCCUGUAAUCCCAGCUAAUCAGGAGGCUGAGGCAGGAGAAUUGCUUGAACCCGGGAGAUGGAGGUUACAGUGAGCCGAGAUCAUGCCACUGCACCCCAGCUUAGGCAACAGAGUGACACUUCAUCUCAAAAAAAAAAAAAAAAAGAUAGGAAAUAGGCAACACUGUCAAUGUCUGGCAAACGUUCUCCCAGCACUGAGGGAGACUGAAGGGGAAGAUCGCUUGAGCCCAGGAUUUUGAGGCUGCAGUGAGCCAUGAUCGGACCACUGCACUACAAUAUGGGUGACAGAAUAAGACCCUAUCUCUGAAAAAGAACGAAAGAAAGAAGGAACAGGUAGAUACGUGUUCAGGACGAAUGCCUAUCGAUGGCACUAUUCAUGCCUUGUGGCAGGGUUAGAAGUUUUCAGUUCCCACUCUCAGUAGCUUCCAUCUUUCCAUCUUUCUUCACACCACCACACUGGCUAUCAAAGUCUUUUUUUCUGUGUGUGAGAUGGAGUUUGGCUCUUGUUGACCAGUCUGGAGUGCAAUGGUGCAAUCUUGGCUCACUGCAGCCUCUGCCUCCCGGGUUCAAGUGACUCUCCUGCCUCAGUCUCCUUAGUAGCUGGGAUUACAGGCCUGCACCACUAUGCCUGGGUAAUUUUUGUAUUUUCAGUAGAGACGGGAUUUCACUGUGUUGGUCAGGAACCUCAGCCUCCCAAAAUGCUGGGAUUCCAGGCGUCAGCCACUGUGCCCAGCCAAAGUCAUUUGUAUGUUUAUUAUUACUUUUUUCUUUAAUUUUAGAGACAGGGUCUUGCUACACUGCCUAGGCUGGAGUGCAAUGGCUAUUCACAGGCACGAUCCCAGCGCACUGCAGCCUUGGACUCCCGGCGUUGAGUGACCCCCCACCUGAGCCUCCCAAGUAGCUGGAACUAUAGGCCCAUGCCACUGUGCCCAGCUUGUCUGUUUUCUAGGGCCAUCGCUUCAUUUAGCAAAACUGUGUUGAGUGCCAGUGGAGCAGCAGUGCACCUGCCCAUGAGGCCCAUGGUGUGAGGCCAAGUCUAAACAGAAAGGGAGAGUCAUUUAAUGGACUUUUAUGAAGUGAGGCCCAAGGUUUGAACAGAAUGCACUGGUGAAAGGUUAGAUCACAGAGCCCAGUGUGCGUUGAACUCUUAACCUUGUGGAGCAAGAAAUGAAGGCCUCCAGAUAUGAAAUGAUUUGCCGGGUGUCUCUUGUCUGCAACCUAUACAUUUUUACUUUAGACCAUGCUAUUGUAUUCUUGAUUUAAUUUUUUUAAAAAGACUAUUUUGGGGGAGUUUUAGGUUUACAGCAAAAUUGAGAGGAAGGUACAUUUAUAUGAUUUUUAAACCUUGGAGGUAGAGAAUUUUUUUUUUUAAAAAAGAGUCUUGCUCUGUCACCCAGGCUGGAGUGCAGUGGCACAAUCCCAGCUCACUGCAACCUUUGCCUCCUGGGUUCCAGUGAUUCUCCUGCCUCAGACUCCCCAGUAGCUGGGACUACAGGUGUACACCAUCAUGCCCAGCUAAUUUUUGUAUUUUUAGUAGUGAUGGGGCUUCACCAUGUUGGCUAGCCUGGUCUCGAACUCCUAACUUCAAGUGAUUCACCUGCGUUGGCCUCCCAAAGUUUUGGGAUUACAGGUAUGAGCCACCGUGCCCAGCCUCAAAGGUAAUAAUUUUAUUUAUUUAUUUAUUUUUGGACAGAGUCUCACUCUGUCACCCAGGCUGGAGGGCAGUGUCGCAAUUGUGGCUCACUGCAACUUCCAUCUCCUGGGUUCAAGUUAUUCUCCUGCCUCAGCCUCCUGAGUAACUGGGAUUACAGGCACACGCCACCACGCCCGGCUAAUUUUUGCAUUUUUAGUAGAGACGGGGUUUCACUCUGUUGACCAGGCUGGUUUCAAACUCCUGACCUCAAGUGAUCCACCCACCUGGGCCUCCCAAAGUGCUUGGACUACAGGCCACGGCACCCUGCACUCGAAGGUAAUAAUUUUAAAUUGUUGAGAGUUGGUCCACAUUUUCUGUGAUUACACAAUUAUUAGGCAUAAAGAUUCUGGAAAACGUUUCUUGUGCAUGUGAAUAUUUAAAAAACUUUAAAACCCACAGAUGCCUUGUAUAGGCUGUAUACUGUGCAUGGCGUGAGUGGGCUUAAUCGUUUUCUUUCAAAGGUGCUGAGCAAAUAUUUUGCAACUGGUAGUGGGAAGCUCAGUUAGCCUCGGUGAGAAUCUCGGUCUUAAUUCACUUUGGGAGGCUGAGGCAGACGGAUUAACUAAGGUCAGGAGUUCGAGACCAGCCUGGCCAACGUGGUGAAACACCGCCUCUACUAAAAAUACACAAAACAGGCCGGGCGCGGUGGCUCACGCCUAUAAUCCCAGCACUUUGGGAGGCCAAGGUGGGUGGAUCACGAGGUCAAGAGAUUGAGACCAUCCUGGUCAACAAGGUGAAACCCCGUCUCUACUAAAAAUACAAAAAUUAGCUGGGCAUGAUGGUGCAUGCCUGUAGUCCCAGCUACUCGGGAGGCUGAGGCAGGAGAAUUGCUUGAACCCAGGAGGCGGAGGUUGUGGUGAGCCGAGAUUGUGCCAUUGCACUCGGUCUGGGUAACAACAGCGAAACUCUGUCUCAAAAAAAAAAAAAAAAAUACACAAAUCACCCAAUGUGGUGGUGCACACCUGUCAUCCCAGCUACUUGGGAGACUGAGGCAUGAGAAUUGCUUGAACCCAUGAGGUGGAGGUUGCAGCGAGCCUCCAUUGCACCCCAGCCUGGGCUACUGAGCAAGACUGUCUCCAGAAGAAGAUAAAGAAGAAUAAAAGAAAGAAAGAAAAAAAAAACAGAAAGGGAAAUGAGCCAUCUCAGAGAACAACUGUGUUUUGUGAGCAGGUCCCAACAAUGUCACCGCUGGGAGCGGGUGCCGCCCACCCGGCCCCUGCAGAGCCGGGGAGCUGAGAGAGGAAGGGGCGCACUUGCCGGCGGGCGGAGGGGGGGGCCGGGAUGCAGGUGCGGGGCCUCAUUUUCUUUCCUUGCAAAGCGAAUUCCCCAAAGGGUUCUGCUGCUUUUGCUUGGCAGAGCAAGGGAAAAUAAGACAUUUUAAAUGAAUUCCAUUGUCUUUCCUGGUGACAGAGCAGCCUCCCCCAGCGUGUCUCCAUGUCUCUGUAGCCCUGUAAGAGCAGUCGCUCCCUUCUCCUCUUAAAACGCGGCAAUAAUGAAUAGGAAGAAAAAGUGCUUGUUGCAAAAGGCUGAUUAUUAUAGGUCUCCCAGCAUUCUGCAUCCACCUGCUGAGGAAAUCAUGGCUUUGAGUGUGCAGAGAUUUAUUGCUAUGCAAGUUCAUUUGCAAGUGUAGAAGAUAGGAACAGACUAACGCUGACCUCAGAGGUAAAGACAGUAGAGUGUUUGAAGGGGUGUGGGCAUUUCUCCCCCUAAUCUCUCCUUCCCAUCCCAAGGGCACUAACAUCCUGCAUCCCUGUGGCUACGCCCUGUGUAGCGCUGUGUAGCCGGCACAUUUUCUAGGACUUGAGCUAACGGGAGCUUGGGGUCAUUGGCUAUUACAAGCGUAAUGUGUAGGACAGCCCUCAUCCCACAAGAUCCGCUGGAGAAGGAAGCCCUUCCAAGACGUGGGUGGCCCUGAGCUUGAGCUUAGCUUGGGCAGGGUGGUAGAUUGGAAAGAGAAGUGGAGGCAGGCUGGUCGCCUUCCUCACACACGUGCUGUGGCCUUGAGGAAGCUGUGUAAACUCUCAGGGCCCCAACUACCUCCUUUUCCAAAUGGCCAGUGGCCUCCUUGGGCUCCUUGAGUAGGGCCAAAGGCCACAGCAGUGAGGUUUGCUGGUGGGCGAUUAAGUUUUAGGGCGUUCAAAUCAAAGCACCACACAGUGUGAAAUACCAUUGCACAGCACAAGCUUGUGUGUACGCCAAUUCGUUGGCAUAAAGAUCAAGGCCAGGCAUGGUGGUUCAUGCCUGUAAUCCCAGCACUUUGGGAGUCUGAGGAGGGUGGAUCUCUUGAGCCCAGGAGUUUGAGACCAAAAAAUACAGAAAUUAGCCAGGCGUGGUGGCAGACACCUAUAAUGCCAGCUACUCAGGAGGCUGAGGCAGGAGAAUUGCUUGAACCUGGAGGCAGAGGUUGCAAUGAGCCAAGAUCGCGCCACUGCACUCCAGCCUGGGUGACAGAGUGAGACUCCAUCACAAAUAAAAUAAAAAGUUGGCUAAUUAGCAUACUUCAUCUUUGACCUUCAUUCCCCCUUGCCACAUAACAUAAUAUAUUCGAGGGUUCCAGGGAUUAGGACACGGACAUCUUGGGGGAGGCAUCGUCCUGCUUCCACAGUGAGGAUGCUACUUUAAUCAGGGUGGUCAGGGAGGGCUUCUCUGAGUAGCUGGUAUUGAAAGGAAGAUCUGUAAGAUAAGGACCAACCACAUCGAGUGGCAGAAGAGCUUCUCAGGCAGCGGGAGUGCCACGUGCAAACGCCCCAGGUGUGUUUAGGAGCAGGGUGGAUCUGGAGAGGCUACAGCACGUGGAGGUUGCAGUGAGCCGAGAUCGUAUCACUGCACUCCAGCCUGGCAACAGAGCAAGACACUGUCUCAAAAAAAAAUCAGAAUAUUAUUUUAUCUUAUUUUUUAAUUGGCACAUAAUUGUACAUAUUUGUGGAACACACAGCGAUGUUUUGAUUCAUACAAGGUGUAGUGAUCAGAUCAAGAUCAUUAGCAUACCCAUCUUGUCCAUCAUCUCUGUCAUGUCUUUGUGCUGGAAGCAUGAAUACCCUCCUUCUAGGUCUGAGAGUUUUUUAAGGAUUGCCUUAGAUAAUGUGGGAGGAGGCUGGGCGCUGUGGCUCUCACCUGUCAUCCCAGCUCUUAAGGAGGCAGAGGCUGGAGGAUAGCUUGAGCCCAGGAGUUCAAGACCUGCCUGGGCAAUAUAGGGAGACCCUGUUCUCAAAAAAAAAAAAAAAAAAAAGAUGAUGUGGGAGGAACCAAACCCGAGGGCAAGAGGCCAGAGGCAGGGAAGCCUCUGAGCGCUCCUAAGACCCCCAAGGACCUUGUUGGUAGACUCAGGAAAUCGAGGUUGUCAGCCAGGUGCAGUGGCUCAUGCCUGUAAUCCCAUCACUUUGGGAGACUGAGGAGGGUGAAUCACCUUGGGUCAGGAGUUCAAGACCAGCCUGGCCAACAUGGUGAAACCCCGUCUCUACUAAACAAAAAAAUUAACAAAGCGUGGUGGUGCACACCUGUAGUCCCAGCUACUUGGGAGGCUGAGGCAGGAGAAUCACAUGAACCAGGGUGGCAGAGGUUGCAGUGAGCUGAGAUCAUGCCACUGCACUCCAGCCUGGGCAACAGAGCGAGACUCUUGUCUCAAAAUAAAUAAAUAAAUAAAAUAAGAAUGAAUGAAAUGUUCCUGGAGACUCUGAAAUAUCUGACAGAAAGGGUCUUGGAGAUGCUAUUGUUGAACCUAAAUAGCAGAUAGAGACUCUCUAAAGGAAAAUGAUAUUUAGCUGGGAAUGGUCAUUGCAGUGGGAAUAGGUGUGAUAUAUCGAGGGAGGUGAGGGAAGACAAGAGUUAAAGGAAACCUUAGGAGGGUUUCACGAGUUAUUUUGAGACAAUUAUCCUUGGCUUCAAGGAUCAAUCACAAGGACAGUUUCAGUCCAGUACGGGACAGGCAGUUGCUGGGCAGGUGCCCUCAUAGAAAUGUUUUUCCGUGUAAGAUUAUGGGGGCCUUUGUGUAAAACUGCAGCUUUACAGAGACUUGUGUGACAGUUCUUGUUAUCACGCAUCCACGCAUGAAAGCCUCACGUUCAUCCCGGGCUCCAUUUGUCAGGGUUUUAACAUAACUGACUCCAUUUUUAUUUUGAUGCUCUUUCCAUUUCCCCUUUUAAUCAAGAUCUUUCUCCAAAAACGAUGCUGGUCGAUCAUUCUGUGGUUGGGUUUUGAUAUCACUUGGUGUUGGGAUGAACCAGUCCUAGGCUGGUCUGGUCCCAGGUUAGAGGGAGUCAUUGGCAACUAUUAGUCAAUGUCAAAACCCUUUUAGUCACAUUUGAAUGAUAAGGGAGGUUGGGAGGGGGCUCUCAGGCUAGAUCUACCUGGAGUCCAUUGUUCUGCUCAUUUCUGUUUGUUCUGUAUUUUUGGGAUCUCCUCUCAAAGCAUUGGUCAGCAUUAUUUUGUUAGGAGUUACACUUCUGCAGAAAUCUGACAGGUACAAGGUUUAGAAAGAAAACUACAGAGGCCGGGUGCAGUGGCUCACACUUGUAAUUCCAGCACUUUGGGAAGCUGAGGCAGGCAGAUCACAAGGUCAGGAGUUCAAGACCAGCCUGGCCAACAUAGUGAAACCCUGUCUCUACUAAAAAUACAAAAGUUAGCCUUGUGUGGUGGUGCGUGCCUGUAGUCCCAGCUACUUGGGAGACUGCAGCAGAAUUCCUUGAACCUGGGAAGUGGAGGUUGCAGUGAGUCGAGAUCAUGCCAUUGCACUCUAGCUUAGGCAACAGAGUGACAUUUCGUCUCAAAAAAAGUCUACAAAAGAAAAUUAGUCUGGGUGCGGUGGCUCAUGCCUAUAAUCCCAGCACUCUGGGAGGCCAAGGUGGGUAAAUCACUUGUGGCCAGGAGUUUGAGACCAGCUUGGCCAACAUGGAGAAACCCUAUGCAGAAAAAAUACAAAAAUUAGCAGGGCAUGGUGGCACAUCCCUAUAAUCCCAGCUACCUGGGAGGCUGAGGCAGGAGAAUCACUUGAACCCAGGAGGCAGAGAUUGUGGUGGGCCGAGAUCGUGCCACUGCACUCCAGCCUGGGCAAGAGAGCAUGACUCUGUCUCGAAAAUAAAUAAAUAGAUAAAUAAAUAAAAUGGUAAUUCGAUAACCCUAGUUUGCUUAGUGGUUUUGAGCUAUGAACCUAGACUUAAAGGGAAUGCACUGAAUAAAUCGAAUGACCAUGGAGCACUAGAAGACACCUGUUGGGACGAAGUGGCUUGUUUCUUAUUUUGUGUGUUUGGGUCUCAACUUCCCGGCCUGAACUUUAUCCAGGUACAGCAUGUGGUAUUAGCAAUAGCACAGUUUCUCAUCCAGCCAACAGAUAACACAGAGCGAAUUCAUCAUCUAGUGUCCCAUGACUGGGAUGAAGUAGAGCAAAGUCAGCAACAGUUCUGUAAGGGAUGCUGCCCGUUACCCACUAGGUGGACUACAGGAUCUCUUAGGUCAGGUCUGUCAAGUUAGCAGAAGAGGGACAAGAGUCUCAUGAUGGGGUCUCUUGUGUUGUCUUGGGAAAAGCCACCCACAGCAUGAAGCCAUUAACUUCUUGUCCUGGUUUGCAGUUAGAACGUCUCUGGUCAUGGCAUUGGGCACUCUAGAGCUUUCUGUGUGGCCCUUAUAUCACACACAAGACUCACCCCUUAAAAUGCAUUUAGUUAGGGCCGGGCACAGUGGCUCAUGCCUGUAAUCCCAGCACUUUGGGAGGCUGAGGCGGGUGGAUCACGAGGUCAAGAGAUCAAGACCAUCCUGGUCAACAUGGUGAAACCCCGUCUCUACUAAAAAUACAAAAAUUAGCUGGGCAUGGUGGCGCGUGCCUGUAGUCCCAGCUACUCGGGAGGCUAAGGCAGGAGAAUUGCUUGAACCCAGGAGGCAGAGGUUGUGGUGAGCCGAGAUCGUGCCAUUGCACUCCAGUCUGGGUAACAAGAGCGAAACUCCAUCUCAAAAAAAAAAAAAAAAAGCAUUUAGUUUCAGCUUAUAGUGCCUUAGGAACACAGCAAUUCCCAUUCUUAGUAUUCCAUGGAAGCAAGUUGGAUUGGAGGAAACAAAAAGAAUUCAGGACCAGCUGGGCGUGGUGGGUCACGCCUGUAAUCCCAGCACCCUGUGCAUGCCUCAACCAGGGUAAAAAAUCUCUAUGCAGUAUACAGGUAGAUGUGCACAAAAAUAACUAAAAAUGGUCUAGAACCCUUGAACUUGCAAGUCCCCACUCUUGCUAAUGGCAAAAGAAAGAGGAAAAAACACCAUGAACAUGCUCAUCAAAGCUAAUUUAGUCUCCGGUCUACAAAAACUCCCUUCCUCCUUAACUCGACGCACCAAGAUUGAAGUUCAAGUUCCCAUCAAGUGUCUCUCCCUGCUCCUUUCUGAGAUGCUGUCGGGAUGCAGGGGAGCUAAGGCCCCUCCUGGCUCCUGCCUCUCAGCCAUGGCCAGGGCGGUUCCUGGGUCUUCUGUCCUGGUGCCCACGAGGUGAUACCAUCAUGCCUUAUUCUCAGGCUCCAGCCCAGAGCUCCCAGCCUGGCCUCUGUACCCCAACCUUAAUCUUCUGAUUCAUCAGGGCCUGGGCUGCUUUUCCCACUCCACACUGGAAAGUGUAGGAUCUCGGAGGCUGCCUGCCGGCUCACCCUCUAGGCCCUUUCCUGGGCAUUUCCAAACCAUGCCUGGGCAGCCUGUGCUGCUCUGCCGCCAUGCUCACCACAGGCCUUGCCACCACUGUUUUGUGUUUGUUUGAGAUGGAUUUUGGCUCUUGUUGCCCAGGCUGGAGUGCAAUGGCGCAAUCUCAGCUCACCACAACCUCCACCUCCUCCUGGGUUCAAGUGAUUCCCCUGCCUCAGCCUCCCAAGUAGCUUAAAACUACAGGCAUGCACCACCACGCCCGGCUAAUGUUUUGUAUUUUUGGAAGAGACGGGGUUUUACCAUGUUGGUCAGGUGGUCUUGAACUCCUGAACUCAGAUAAUCCGUCUGCCUCGGCCUUCCAAAGUGCUAGGAUUACAGGUGUGAGCCACCGAGCCCAGCCUGCCACCACCUUGGGUUUUAACCCCAAGGAGGGAAUCAGGACCCUGGCAUCUGAUCUCCUGUAUCUUCCUACUGAUGGGAACUUCCCUAAGUCACAUCUCCUGGCCCUGUGCACUGCUUGUAAUCCAAGUCCCAGAUUCUGUUCUUUACGUCUUAAAGCAGAACCUUUGGAAUUUAGAAAAUCUCUUUCUUCUCUGAAAGCUCAGUUUCAAGAGUACUAAAUCACAUGCAUUCAGAGCCAGUCUUAAUAUUUAAAGGUGAAAAAGUCUUUCUCAUCACAUUCCUAUGAUGAAAAUCAUAAUUAUCCUUGAGGCCAACAGAAGCUUCUGAUUGAAUUAGAGAAAGAAAAAAUAUUAAUACAUUUAAGAUAAUAUCUGUCCAGGUGUGGUGGCUCACACCUGCAAUCCCAGCACUUUGGGAGGCCGAGGUGGGUGGAUCAUUUGAGGUCAGGAGUUCGAGACCAGCCUGGCCAACAUGCUGAAACCCCAUCUGUACUAAAAAUACCAAAAAAAAAAAAAAAAAAAAGUAAGCCAGGCAUGGUGGUGCGUGCCUGUAAUCCCAGCUACUUGAACACUGAGGCACGAGAAUCGCUUGAACGCAGGAGGUGGAGGUUGCGGUGAGCCAAGAUCAUGCCACUGCACUCCAGCCUGGGAGACAGAGUGAGACCCUGUCUCAAAGGAAAAAAAAACAGAGAGAGUAUCUCUCUUUUACAUGCAGCAUAGCACUUACCACAAACGUAUUAGAAUUGUUCCAUAUCUGUCAUCCUAAACAGAGAGGAGUUAAAAGGAAGAGCACAAAUCAUUUUUGUUUUUUUGAGACAGAGUCUCACUGUGUCGUUCAGGCUGGAGUGCAGCGUUGCAAUCUCAGCUCACUCCAACUUCUGCCUCCCGGGUUCAAGAAAUUCUCCUGCCUCAGCCUCCUGAGUAGCUGGGAUUACAGGUGCACACCACCACAGGCGGCUAAUUUUUGUAUUUUUAGUAGAGACGGGGUUUCACCAUGUUUGUCAGGCUGGUCUCAAACUCCUGACCUCGUGGUACACCUGCCUCAGCCUCCCAAAGUGCUGGGAUUACAGGCAUGGGCCAUCGUGCCGAGUGGGUAUAAAUCUUACUCACUUUUUAUGUCAAGUGCCUAAAUAUUGUGCCUGGCACUUUGUAUGCUCACAGAAACUAUUGGAUA